Pleuronectes platessa (European plaice) is the source of this 581-nucleotide long non-coding RNA. RefSeq lists it as uncharacterized. The transcript is spliced from 3 exons. Lineage: Eukaryota; Metazoa; Chordata; Actinopteri; Pleuronectiformes; Pleuronectidae. The record is from RefSeq and is a predicted model, not a curated record.
UCGCAUCUCAGUGUGACAGAGGAGCCGACCUGAGGGGUAACCAAGUCUGACUCCGUAUCAAGUCGGGGCUUCAGGGUGGGCAGGACUGUUGGUUGGCAGAUACACAGAGGACAUGAUCUCAUUUGAUUCAUUCAGAGUUGAAUCUUCUCUCUGCACUCGGGGGAUUUGUAGCACCUGUCCACCUGAAAGGUCAAACCCAUGCAUACAUCAGCAGAUUCAUCCGUGACUAUGACUCCUCACUCACAAAUCACAGCCACAGGCUUUAACACAGGAAUGAGACUCUACCUGGAAGUAGCACCACCCCAUCUGCAGAGAGUUGGUGACCACACAGGUGUACUGGCCCUCAUGGGACAUCAGGGCGUUGUCUAUGUGGAGGAAAUGGCCGCUCUCCUGGAUGCCAGCAUGGACGUUUCCAAUCAGCAACUUAAGACAAACAAAAUGCAUCAGAUAAAAGGUGAAAUACUGUGUGUAGAAAACACUAUCUCCACAUUAGGCAUUAAGAUUUCCAUACUUCAAAAAAUGUUGUCAAUAGGUAUCAGUGGUGAUUUAAAUGUCUGGAUUUAUGACACCUUAUUUUCAUA